This 238-nucleotide ribosomal RNA is filed under the name uncultured bacterium. Its description in RNAcentral is "partial 16S ribosomal RNA". It matches the Rfam family "Bacterial small subunit ribosomal RNA", at positions 96 to 334 of the family's 1533-position model. The record is from RNAcentral.
CGGCGGACGGGUGGAGUAACGCGUAGGCAACCUGCCCCACUACAAAGGGAUAGCAUUUGGAAACGAAUAUUAAUACCUUAUGAACUUAACUAGUGCAUGCUAGGUAGGUCAAAGAUUUAUCGGUAUGGAUGGGCCUGCGUCUGAUUAGCUAGUUGGUGAGGUAACGGCUCACCAAGGCGACGAUCAGUAGCCGACCUGAGAGGGUGAACGGCCACAUUGGAACUGAGACACGGUCCAA